CAGUCGCCGCGGUAAUACGUAGGGUGCGAGCGUUAAUCGGAAUUACUGGGCGUAAAGCGUGCGCAGGCGGUUGUGUAAGACAGGUGUGAAAUCCCCGGGCUUAGCCUGGGAACUGCGCUUGUGACUGCACAGCUAGAGUAUGGCAGAGGGGGGUGGAAUUCCACGUGUAGCAGUGAAAUGCGUAGAGAUGUGGAGGAACACCGAUGGCGAAGGCAGCCCCCUGGGCCAAUACUGACGCUCAUGCACGAAAGCGUGGGGAGCAAACAGGAUUAGAUACCCCCGUAGUCCCUGUCUCUUAUAC
Molecule: ribosomal RNA, 301 nt
Filed under: uncultured bacterium
Lineage: Bacteria
Description: partial 16S ribosomal RNA
Rfam family: Bacterial small subunit ribosomal RNA
Source: RNAcentral